AUGGCAGUUGACCGCGCCGACAAGGAGAAUUUGCCGCCAGCGGCCGCCGUCGCCUGUCCUCAUGGCGUGGCUGUCAGGAGCUGCAAGCUGAAGCGGCUCGGCAGGUCGCGGAGGCGGGUGCCGCUCAGGGACAUCACCAACCUCUUCGCCGUGGAGUCCGCGGUUGCCCAGUGGCAGCAGGCCCUGCUCCAGCAGCCGCGCGAGGGGUCGGCGACGGCAGAGCCGGCCGUGAAGAACGGGCUGGCCGGUCCUGUGCUGAAGGCCGGCAGAUACUCUCUCCGGAAGGAGUUUAGAUAG
RNAcentral lists this ribosomal RNA (297 nucleotides) under Triticum aestivum (bread wheat). RNAcentral's name for it is "partial small subunit ribosomal RNA". Lineage: Eukaryota; Viridiplantae; Streptophyta; Magnoliopsida; Poales; Poaceae. The record is from RNAcentral.